Molecule: ribosomal RNA, 253 nt
Filed under: uncultured bacterium
Lineage: Bacteria
Description: partial 16S ribosomal RNA
Rfam family: Bacterial small subunit ribosomal RNA
Source: RNAcentral
UACGGGGGGGGCAAGCGUUGUUCGGAAUUACUGGGCGUAAAGCGCACGUAGGCGGCUUUUUAAGUCAGGGGUGAAAUCCCGGGGCUCAACCCCGGAACUGCCCUUGAAACUGGAGAGCUAGAAUCUUGGAGAGGCGAGUGGAAUUCCGAGUGUAGAGGUGAAAUUCGUAGAUAUUCGGAGGAACACCAGUGGCGAAGGCGGCUCACUGGUCCAUUACUGACGCUGAGGUGCGAAAGCGUGGGGAGCAAACAGG